RNAcentral lists this unclassified non-coding RNA (1226 nucleotides) under Hevea brasiliensis (rubber tree). The record is from RNAcentral. Lineage: Eukaryota; Viridiplantae; Streptophyta; Magnoliopsida; Malpighiales; Euphorbiaceae.
AUAAGUAUUGCUAUGCAGUUCCGUAUUACAAGAAAAUGGGACGGAAAUGCAGAACAAAACUUAACCAUCAAUUAGAUCAUUCAGCAGUCAACAAUCUUCUUCGACGUCUCUUUGCAUUUCUCCUAUGCUGUGCCCAUCUCUCUUUAAUACCACAUAACUUAUAAUUUUGGUGUUCGUAAUCAAAGUCCUUAGAUGUUUCAGAUCCUUUGGACGCUGCAGUACUAAAAUCCCCUCUGAUUCUGGCAGCUUCAGCAAUCAGAUCAUUUACAAUCAUUUCAGUGGUCCUAGAGGUGAUUCCUCUUAGAUACCAGGAAAUGGGUGGUGGUGGAACUAGUGUUGGCUGGAUUAUCUGCUCCAAGCUCACCUUUGAUCCUAUUCUUCCUUUGCCUCCUGUACAUGAAUAAUAGUCUAUCCAUGUUUUAGGUUUGAAUGGAUGGCAGACGCAUUCAUCAACGAACACAGGUUCUACCCUCCAGCAUCCUUCAAAUUUUUUCAUGAACCCGGUUUGCACUUGCUUGAAUUUCAUCGUCAGAUCUUGUCUGUUCUGAUCAACUAAAACAUGAACUGAAAUAGUCCCAGACCACCAAAGAAAUUUCCAUAUAGCUGCUUGUUCCAAUUCAACUAGCUGCCUUGGACCUUCAUCAAGCAGAACUUUCCUCGAUAUCACUUCCUUGAUGUUUUUGAAAACUCUCCUAUUGUCAGGGUCAGUCACAAUAUCAUAUACCGCAUCUGGAGGCAAACCAACAUUAACGUUCACAUUAAGGUUGCACAGAGAACCUUUUGGUACACUGACCUUUAUCUCUGGAGGCUGAUCAACCCAGGAAGGAUUUUCUCUCCAAGAUUGUAAUUGCCUCUCAAGAUCAAUCCUCAAAGCAGUAGCUGAUCCUUCUUCCUUCCUCACUGAGGGUGAUUCCCCUUUUUCUUUUGCUAAUUUCCUGAGCUGUGACUUUAAACAAUUUUGAAGCUUGUUUGGUAGCUGUACAAGAAAUGAUGGAUCAAAUGCCCUGUGCACACCAUUUCCCAUGCUGUUGGUGUUGGGGGCUUCCAUGCUCGUCCCUUUCAUAUCUGUCUCACCCAUUAAAGCAGAUGGGAUUUAAAACCACAAGAAUAUCCCAAGAAUUGUGGAAUCUCCUGCCUCCCUCCCUUAUUCAAGUCCUAUACUUUUCUUAUUGAUAAUCCAAAGGUUGGUCAGCACGAGAUGCAAACGCAAAUUGCAAAUUGUGAAA